AUGUACCACGCCUGCACUCCGGUUCCUCCGCACCCACCUGACGACUGCUCGCUACGCUUUGUUAGCC
RNAcentral lists this small RNA (67 nucleotides) under Xanthomonas fragariae. Its description in RNAcentral is "sX9 sRNA". It matches the Rfam family "Xanthomonas sRNA sX9". Lineage: Bacteria; Pseudomonadati; Pseudomonadota; Gammaproteobacteria; Lysobacterales; Lysobacteraceae. The record is from RNAcentral.